CUGCCGGUCAUGUUGGACUGUGGAACGCAUGGACAGCAAGGUGUUUGGCCUGCCUCACACUGUGCUGGGCCGGCUGGGUUUCACAAUGGGCAAACAGUUUGCGUACAUAGACUCAUGUACGCACGCAGCUCCAAGGGGUCAAGGGAGUACAAUCCCCUGGUAGGAAAGCAGGAGAAGGUCUAACUCACAAAGAUUAGGAGGAGGAAGCUAAAUGACCAAGAGAGAGCAGACAACUAAUGGUUAUCCACAAUAAAGCUGGUUUAACAUUGUUCUGUUUAUUAUCUUUUGUUAAUACUGUUUUAAUAACGUUCCAUUUAGAACUAUUGAAUAAUAUUUCAAGAACUUUGUUUAGUGCAGUUGAAUCCUGUUUUAGUAAAGUUUUCUAAAGAAAAAGCAUGAAACUAUCUAUCUACAAGACACACUCACUCACUCACUCAUACACAGAACCCCCCCCCCCCCACACACACACACACAUACACGCACACACACACACACACACACACACACACACACACACACACACACACACACACACACACACACACACACACACACACACACACACCCAC
Long non-coding RNA from Gadus macrocephalus (Pacific cod), 569 nucleotides. RefSeq lists it as uncharacterized. The record is from RefSeq and is a predicted model, not a curated record. NCBI's taxonomy places the organism in Eukaryota, Metazoa, Chordata, Actinopteri, Gadiformes, Gadidae. The transcript has 2 exons.